CAAAGGCAUGGUCCCGACCUUAUUAUCAGCUCUAACUCAACUUACACAUGCAAGUCUCCGCAACCCAGUGAAUAUGCCCUCAAUCCCCCCACCCGGGGACGAGGAGCGGGCAUCAGGCACAAACAUUAGCCCAAGACGCCUAGCCAAGCCACACCCCCAAGGGAAUUCAGCAGUGAUAAACAUUAAGCCAUAAGUGAAAACUUGACUCAGUUAGUGUUAAGAGGGCCGGUAAAACUCGUGCCAGCCACCGCGGUUAGACGAGAGGCCCUAGUUGAUAUUACAACGGCGUAAAGGGUGGUUAAGGAUAAACAAAAAUAAAGUCAAAUGGCCCCUUGGCCGUCAUACGCUUCUAGGAGUCCGAAGCCCUAAUACGAAAGUAACUUUAAUAAACCCACCUGACCCCACGAAAGCUGAGAAACAAACUGGGAUUAGAUACCCCACUAUGCUCAGCCGUAAACUCAGACAUCCAGCUACAAUUAGAUGUCCGCCAGGGUACUACGAGCAUUAGCUUAAAACCCAAAGGACCUGACGGUGUCUCAGACCCCCCUAGAGGAGCCUGUUCUAGAACCGAUAACCCCCGUUCAACCUCACCACUUCUAGCCACCCCAGCCUAUAUACCGCCGUCGUCAGCUUACCCUGUGAAGGUAAUAAAAGUAAGCAAAAUGGGCACAACCCAAAACGUCAGGUCGAGGUGUAGCGCAUGAAGUGGGAAGAAAUGGGCUACAUUUUCUAAUAUAGAAUAUUACGAACAUGCACCAUGAAACAAUGCUUGAAGGAGGAUUUAGUAGUAAAAGGGAAAUAGAGUGUCCCUUUGAACCCGGCUCUGAGACGCGUACACACCGCCCGUCACUCUCCCCUGUCAAAACGCACCAAAAAUACAUAAUACAACAGCACUGACAAGGGGAGGCAAGUCGUAACACGGUAAGUGUACCGGAAGGUGCACUUGGAUCAAA
Molecule: non-coding RNA, 953 nt
Filed under: Cyprinus carpio (common carp)
Lineage: Eukaryota; Metazoa; Chordata; Actinopteri; Cypriniformes; Cyprinidae
Also listed under: 3 other names
Description: 12S ribosomal RNA
Rfam family: Bacterial small subunit ribosomal RNA
Source: RNAcentral